This 223-nucleotide long non-coding RNA is filed under the name Citrus maxima (pomelo). Its description in RNAcentral is "long non-coding RNA (CMAX_LNC002457)". The record is from RNAcentral. Lineage: Eukaryota; Viridiplantae; Streptophyta; Magnoliopsida; Sapindales; Rutaceae.
GCGGUUGAGCGCAGGGACCCCUCAUGUGUUAGUAUAAAAUUGCCCAUCCCAUUAUGGGCGAAAAUAACACAAUUAAGGAUAUACUUGUCCAUAAUAUACUACUGUACAUGGUAUGUCAAAAUUGCUCAACAAUAUUUGACUUUAGUCACGUAUUAAUUCGGUAAAAUAUAGAAAAUAAUUAGAAUGAUUUAUGUCAGUCCACAUAAUGUGAGAAAUAAAUCUA